UUUACAGUAAAGAGGGUUGGGUCGUGCCUUUCCAGAAAAUUCAGCCCCUGGGCCAUACACCUGAGGCUUGGCGGCAUCUGGAGGCCGGCCACCUACAGUAAACCCAGUGAGCCGCUGUCACCCGAUCACUGCAGAUAAGUUUCCCACAAGUCUGUGCAUGCGGGGGCGUACACGGGGGCGGCCGCCUUAUUCAAGUCAGUGCUUCUCAAAUUCCAGAGAAAGAUGAGCAGCAUGCAGACACUCUUGGCUCAAAAUUCUGCAAGGUUACAGAAAACUUCGGAAAGUGCUGCGCCGGGCACAAGGUUCCUCCCGGUCAGGGGUAUGUGCUUUUCUCAUGAUUAGUUGGGUUAAACUGUAAAGUGCUCAUCAGUGCAUUGAGAGAUUAAUGGAAGAAAAGAUCUGCCAGAUCAUAGCCAAUAUUUCACAUUUGAUAUCUUCUAGAUGUCGUGGGAUGUUGUGGUUUUUCUCUGUAUAUCCUAGACAUCAGACCAGAGCCUGUGGUUAAGUAUAGCUGCAGAAUCCAGGCACUAUUUUCAUGGGCGUGUUGUGUUAUUUCUCAAAACAUUCAGUAUGAUGGCUCUCUAUAGAUAGUAACUGAUAUUUCUUUUCCCAGACCUGGGACUGGGACUUGGGCAUAACUGAUAAUAAAAUUCUCACAUUUUAUGGAGCCCAAAAUAUUAUCUCCUGAUGUGUUUCUUCAUGGCCAACAAAUAAACAGACACCAAUGGUUAAACUAUAACAUUUUCUCACACUUAAAUCAGACAUCAAGUCUGUUAUAAAUAACCUUAUAACUUAACCUUAAAGCAACUAAAUAACUCUUGCACUGUUAAACUCUCAAAUGAGAGCAAAGAUUAUCUAUUCUACCUAACAAAAACACCUUACAAAUCAACUGCAUUCACAUGGGGGAAAAGAAAUUGCUUUCGGUCCUAAAAUUUUAGUGUUCUGUAUUAUAGCACCUCCAAUGUCAACGACUCUUUGGCUAAACAUACUAAUAAUCCCAAGGUAGAAGUGAUAAAUUAUUAUAAAGAAACAUUGUUGGUGCUUUGUUGGUUGUUAAUUCUCCAAUGCUGAUACAUUCAUAGAAUCUUAAUAUGGGCUGAUUUUAUUAGCCAACCAAUGUAUCAAUGAAACUCUACCAUGUAUCCAGUCACAAGGCAAUAACAAAGGACAUAUCCCCUGAUACAACACCCAACAUUAACCAUUCAUUUUCAGUGAUUCCGGCCUGGAUAAACAGUUAAAAGAUGGAUGGAUCGAUUUUCAUUAAUAAUUGUUUUUCUUAGGUUGGAUUUUAAGUGUUUUCCAGUUAACACGUAGUGUAACACCCCAGACAGGUCACCACGGGCCUUACCAAGCGUGACACACACUUAGCAGUAAGUCACCUGAUGCAGUGAUCUAAACAUAUUCAGACUUGAGUCUGAAUGCAAGCUCAUAACCAAGGAGGUGUGACUCAACAUCGCUGUCGGCUGGGCCACAGUGCCUCUCACACAUUAUUAACAGAUGUACCUGUUUCUAAUUAUGCUAUUUAAGACGUCUUAGACCUUAAUUUGACUUCAUGAACUUCUAUCAACCCAUCGUUAUUGCACAUAAUUUCUAGCUGUUCAUAUGCUAUAAUUUUAUUGCCUAUUUGUAGUUAUUAUUAUGUUGUUUUUGUUGUAAUUUUCUUCAUAUUUUACUGUUAUUUUGUUCUUAUUUAUUUUUAUCUUUUUAGAGUAUGUAGUUUUUUUCUUUGCAUUGCCUCAAGCACGAUACAGGAACUAGGGGGAUAACCAUUUCACUGUGCAGUAGUAUAGGGUAUGAUUUUGCAUAUGACAAAUAAAAUUUGAAACUUGUAACUACCCUAGGAUACACCAAAGAUGUUUGUUUUUACUGUGUUUAGCUGUAUUUGAGAGCCAAAACUUUGUAUUUGAACAUCGAAUUCUUUUAAUACUACAAAUACAAUUUUCCUUAUGUAUGAGUCCAACUGGUGUGUAACCGGUUUGUUUAUGACGUAUUAUGUACUUCUUUGAUUACAUGACUGUCAAACAUCCAUGAAACAGGGAGGAAUAAAUAGAAAACUUGAAUGGA
Molecule: long non-coding RNA, 2064 nt
Organism: Brienomyrus brachyistius
Lineage: Eukaryota; Metazoa; Chordata; Actinopteri; Osteoglossiformes; Mormyridae
Exons: 2
Source: RefSeq, a predicted model, not a curated record